GAGUAAGGGUGCUCAGCGCCCGACCUCCAACCCUUUGUUGUUAAAACUACCUUGUUGCUUUGGCGGGACCGCUCGGUCUCGAGCCGCUGGGGAUUCGUCCCAGGCGAGUGCCCGCCAGAGUCAAACCAAACUCUUGUUAUUAAACCGGUCGUCUGAGUAUAAAAUUUUAAUUAAAUUAAAACUUUCAACAACGGAUCUCUUGGUUCU
This 207-nucleotide unclassified non-coding RNA is filed under the name rhizosphere metagenome. RNAcentral's name for it is "partial ribosomal RNA internal transcribed spacer region". The record is from RNAcentral.